This is a non-coding RNA of Pelobates cultripes (western spadefoot toad), 487 nucleotides long. The record is from the annotation of a GenBank genome assembly. Lineage: Eukaryota; Metazoa; Chordata; Amphibia; Anura; Pelobatidae.
ACGAAGCUAGGUCCCUACAAAAGAGGAAUGGGGUGGCUAUACUGAUACGUAACACGUGCCCCAUUCACGUUUCCAAGGUACACGCAGACCCGGAGGGGAGGUACAUUAUUCUGACGGGCUCCAUACAUUCGCACACGAUACACAUGAUAAACAUUUAUGCCCCAAACACCCCAGACAUUGCGUUCUGGAAGGAAUUACAAACUAAACUACAUGCCCUACCGCAGGGCAUAAUACUCAUGGGGGUGACUUUAAUGCUGCACCGUGUCCAGCCGCCGACAGGAGCUCCAGAGCGGGUCAGCUGAGAUCCCAUGGCAGAGGACGACAAGACAGGGCUCUAUAUGAAUUUAUUAAAUCAACUGGCCUCCUGGACGUCUGGAGGGCGCAGCACCCUGACGCAGUAGACUAUACAUUCUAUUCGGCCCCGCAUGGAACAUACUCAAGAAUCGAUUUCUUCUUGGUAAACGAUGCGGGCAUGGCCAGAGUGACG